Molecule: unclassified non-coding RNA, 2842 nt
Filed under: Homarus americanus (American lobster)
Lineage: Eukaryota; Metazoa; Arthropoda; Malacostraca; Decapoda; Nephropidae
Description: homeobox protein prospero-like, transcript variant X4
Source: RNAcentral
GCUAGUGGACAGAGCAGGGGAGCGUGAACUAGCUUUCAUCAAGCCCGACAUGAAUCACCAUUUACCUCCAGGGCAAGAUACUUUGAUACCGUCCCGCCACCAUGACCCGCUGGUCUGGUGCCACGCCCCGAGACGACACACUAUGCAUAAAGGUGUGCAGAGAUGCUUCCCCCGGCCCUUCAUGGAUAACCUGCGUCCACUACAGUUCCGCGCACCGGAUGAGCCAAGCAGCCUGGUUGGUGGCUUAAGAAUCGGCCCUCGUGACGUAGCGCCACCCUAUUGGCCGCCGCUACCUCUCGCUCCUCCCUCCAUGCAUCCUCCACCAAUCGGCGCGCUCCCUACCGCAAUGGCUCACGACGAAGAAAGCGAUUGCUUCAUGCUAGGAGAAAAGCUGUCGAAGAAACCGAAACGGAUCAGAACAAGAGUAGACGCCGGAGAGCCAAGGAACUCUUACUCGGCCUUCAGUAGUUUACCCAACUUGUGUGGUGUUAGUGUUAAUGCAGUCAGGCCGGGAAGUGCUCCUAACCUCUUCAGUGCAAGUCAACCCUUUUGUGGACUACCAUUUGUGAACUAUUUCAACCCCCCACCCACGGUGGGUUCGCGCGGUAUGCUAAGUGAGUUGUUCGGCGCCCACACCAAGCCUGUGGCGCCCUGCCCGCCUGAAGACACAGUGUCAACCAUGGGUGUAUUGGACAAAGUGACAAGCUCUAGCGUGCAUAGUGCUGAUGCAGUGAACUCGGUGAUUCGGGGACCAGAGCCAGAUAACGUGCUCUUACGUGAAAUCCUUCAGGGACGUAAACGGGACCUUCUUACUAUGGAGGAGAUUGAGGCUGCCCGCUCCUUACACAACAAUAACAAUAGUUACAAGGGGGCGACGGACUCUGUGGAGGCCAACAAUGAGGAGCCUAACGCGGGCAGAGACGAGAACAGUGUGUCUGCGGAAGACGCGCGGUGUGAGUCUGAGGUGGAGGAGACCAUGAGUCAGAACAGUCCGCGCACUGACUCCCCAGAACCUAGGAAACGUCUGGAGAAUAUAGUGAGUGUGAUCCGUUCCUCGCCCACCCCCAACACAACCGUCAAUGGGUGCAAGAAGCGGAAAUUGUACUUGCCACAACAACACGAGACACGACCCAACUAUGACUCACAAAACGAGGAAGGCGAGGCUGCGACUGAGCCUGAUAAUAAGACGAGACGACUUGAAGACGAUGAGCAGGUGGAGUCUCGGGUGGCGGAGUCUGGUGAGGAGGGGGGUUUACAGAUUGACCUGAGUGUGAGGCGACGGUCCCCGGAGCCACAACGACCCCCCUCACCCAAACCUCCCACCUCCACCUCCUCAAACGACUCCAACGACGCCUCUUCCUACCUCCUGGAUUAUGCCCAGCGUUUAAUCCGUAACCAAGAGGCGCGAUUACAGAGGGAAAACGACAUGAAGAACACCGACUUGAAUGAGAAACUGCAGCUCUUGCGAAACUUAAGUUUAGGGUCUCAGGUGACGGACUUGGAGGGCCUGGCCGACGUGCUCAAGACGGAGAUCACCGCCUCCCUAGCCGUCAUCAUCGACACCAUAGUCAACAAGUAUGUACAGCAAAGAAAACUGCUCACCAAACAGGCGGAGGUGGCCGCUGAGCAGCUCAAUCGGGACAUUGCCUCGCAGCUCAUGGAACGGUCCCGCUCCCCACGUUCUCACAAGAUGCUGGAUCGAGGGCCUCCCAACAUGCCCAGACUCAACGGCAUGCCCGCCCCCCACGGACCUCUCAACCUCUCACCCUACCCAGGCUCUGAAAACAACCUCAACAACCUCAAUCUACCACACCUACGACCACCUCUCUACAAACCCCCACAUGGGUUCUUCCACGGCAACUUGCCUCCCAUGGGCGGGAUGAUCCCUAGCGGGCAGACCUCCCCCUUCGGCGGGAUGGAGCCAGAGCAGGAUGAGGCCCUCCCGCUAGUGGUUACACCUAAGAAGGUGAAGCGACAUAAGGUGACGGAUUCUCGCCUAACGCCCCGCACGGUUGGCCGCCUCUUGGAGGACUACCCCCGUUACGGACCCCUGCCAGGGAUGGGUGGGCAGACGUCCCCUCGCAGCUCCCCUCCCCCACCGCCACCCAGCCACCACCCGCACCAUCGGCCCACCUCCUUCCCCCAACCCCCACCCUUGUUGCCAGUAUCACUGCCCACCUCCGUGGCCAUCCCCAACCCAUCUUUGCACGACACCAGUCUACUCUAUCCCAGCUACUAUGGGCACCGGGCGUCUUCUCCCAUGGACGGCCGGCGGGAGGAGUCUCCUGCAGGUCCUCCGCCCCCACACCCUCACCCGCUGCUGCAUCCGGCGCUCCUGGCAGCCUCCUCACCGGACUCCUUCUCACGCUUCCUGCACGGCGACCACGACCGCGCCUCAGAUUGUUCGCCAGCAGACCCACACUACGACGGAGUCCAGCCUACUAUAUCCUUUUAUUCACCUGAACAUCGUGCGGCAGUCGAGAGGAACAUGCGCGCGAGCGGACCGUUCAACAUCUUCCCUAAUGAAAGGUCAACCGGCUUGAUCAGCCACCCCUGCGACACCUGGAGUUCUACUAUAUCCAAAUGGAGAAGUACGCGCGACAGUACCUGAGUGAGGGGGUGAAGAACGGAGAUGACAUUGCGGUCAACAUGGACGCGGAAAUCAUCCGUGCCCUUAACCUACACUACAACCGCAACAACCACUUAGAGAUCCCUGAGCACUUCAGAUAUGUGGUGGAGCAAACGAUGAAGGAAUUCUUCAAGGCAAUUCAGGAACAAAAGGAUACGGAACAGUCUUGGAAGAAAGCCAUUUACAAGGUGAUCGCGCGUCUCGACGAGACGG